ACAUUUGGUUUUGUUUUUUCAGUGUUCACUGAUUUUUGAUUGAUGGAUAACACUUUUUUAUUAUUUUAGAAUACCAGUUGAUGACUGCUGUGCAGUGGAAAUAUCGAUCAUCUUUCUUGAUAAAACCUCAAUAUAUCAUCAGGAGCAACCGGUAUUAAUUUUGUGCUCCUUGAUAUGUUUUUUCCCUCCAAAAAUGGACAGUCUCUGACUUAAAUUUUAUCAAUCACCAAAGGCCACAUUUUCAGCUAAAAAUCUUCUUUGCUGUUCUGCUGAAGAAAAAUACUCAUGAACAUCUUGGGUGGCGUAAGGAUCUUUGCAGGAUUCAGUCGCAUAUCUCGGAUCUGAGUUCUGCGCAGCACUGGACACAGACUCUGCACUUUUGACAUUUUCUAGAAAAAAGGAUUUAAAAUUUCACAUCAAGUUAAUUAAAAGGUAUCUCUUUAUCAUGUUGACUGUAGUUGUCAUCUUUAAAUCAUGAUUUGCUUAUGAUUGUUAUCCUCAGCCUGUCUCUAUUUUUUCAUAGUCAUCUGAUGUUUCCACUGCAGUACUUCAGGACCUUUCAGUGAUCCUGGAGGAUGACCCAGAGGAAUUUUACAGGAUGUGUUUCGUAAGUAUUACUGGAUUUUCUGCUCUCAUCAUUUUGUUUUAUUCAAUAUGAAUAUAGUUCAGGUUAUGAAAAAUUGUCAAAGGUUCUGUGUAUUAU
Labeo rohita (rohu) is the source of this 703-nucleotide long non-coding RNA. RefSeq lists it as uncharacterized. The transcript has 3 exons. NCBI's taxonomy places the organism in Eukaryota, Metazoa, Chordata, Actinopteri, Cypriniformes, Cyprinidae. The record is from RefSeq and is a predicted model, not a curated record.